RNAcentral lists this transfer RNA (72 nucleotides) under Hymenophyllum wrightii. RNAcentral describes it as "tRNA-Val". It matches the Rfam family "tRNA". Rfam says of the family: Transfer RNA (tRNA) molecules are approximately 80 nucleotides in length. Their secondary structure includes four short double-helical elements and three loops (D, anti-codon, and T loops). RNAcentral also lists the same sequence under 4 other names. Lineage: Eukaryota; Viridiplantae; Streptophyta; Polypodiopsida; Hymenophyllales; Hymenophyllaceae. The record is from RNAcentral.
AGGGCUAUAGCUCAGUGGUAGAGCGCCUCGUUUACACCGAGAAUGUCUACGGUUCAAAUCCGUAUAGCCCUA